UCCUACGGGAGGCAGCAGUGAGGAAUAUUGGUCAAUGGCCGGAAGGCUGAACCAGCCAAGUAGCGUGCAGGAUGACUGCCUUAUGGGUUGUAAACUGCUUUUUUACGGGAAUAAUUAUGAUCACGUGUGAUUAUUUGCAUGUACCGUAAGAAUAAGGAUCGGCUAACUCCGUGCCAGCAGCCGCGGUAAUA
This 191-nucleotide ribosomal RNA is filed under the name uncultured Bacteroidales bacterium. Its description in RNAcentral is "partial 16S ribosomal RNA". It matches the Rfam family "Bacterial small subunit ribosomal RNA", at positions 337 to 525 of the family's 1533-position model. Lineage: Bacteria; Pseudomonadati; Bacteroidota; Bacteroidia; Bacteroidales. The record is from RNAcentral.